Molecule: ribosomal RNA, 253 nt
Filed under: uncultured bacterium
Lineage: Bacteria
Description: partial 16S ribosomal RNA
Rfam family: Bacterial small subunit ribosomal RNA
Source: RNAcentral
CACGGGGGGAGCAAGCGUUGUUCGGAAUCACUGGGCGUACAGGGCGUGUAGGCGGUUCGGUAAGUGGAAUGUGAAAUCCCUCGGCUCACCCGAGGACCUGCAUCCCAAACUGCCGAGCUUGAGUAUGGGAGAGGAUGAGGGAAUUCCUGGUGUAGCGGUGAAAUGCGUAGAUAUCAGGAGGAACACCGGUGGCGAAGGCGCUCAUCUGGCCCAAUACUGACGCUGAGGCGCGAAAGCUAGGGGAGCAAACGGG